AUUGAACGCUGGCGGCAUGCUUUACACAUGCAAGUCGAACGGUAACAGGCCGCGAGGUGCUGGCGAGUGGCGAACGGGUGAGUAAUGCAUCGGAACGUGCCCAGGCGUGGGGGAUAACUACUCGAAAGAGUAGCUAAUACCGCAUACGAUCUAUGGAUGAAAGCGGGGGACCGUAAGGCCUCGCGCGAUUGGAGCGGCCGAUGUCAGAUUAGGUAGUUGGUGGGGUAAAGGCUCACCAAGCCAACGAUCUGUAGCUGGUCUGAGAGGACGACCAGCCACACUGGGACUGAGACACGGCCCAGACUCCUACGGGAGGCAGCAGUGGGGAAUUUUGGACAAUGGGCGCAAGCCUGAUCCAGCAAUGCCGCGUGCAGGAAGAAGGCCUUCGGGUUGUAAACUGCUUUUGUACGGAACGAAACGGCUCUGGUUAAUACCCGGGGCUAAUGACGGUACCGUAAGAAUAAGCACCGGCUAACUACGUG
Molecule: ribosomal RNA, 482 nt
Filed under: uncultured bacterium
Lineage: Bacteria
Description: partial 16S ribosomal RNA
Rfam family: Bacterial small subunit ribosomal RNA
Source: RNAcentral